RNAcentral lists this unclassified non-coding RNA (473 nucleotides) under Logania albiflora. Its description in RNAcentral is "partial miscellaneous RNA". The record is from RNAcentral. Lineage: Eukaryota; Viridiplantae; Streptophyta; Magnoliopsida; Gentianales; Loganiaceae.
CUAGACCUAGCUGCUAUAGAAGUUCCAUCUAUNAAAAGGAUAAGAUCCCGGUCUUAUUGUAUAGGAGUUAUUGAAAAAUAAAGGAGCAAUAAUAACCUUCUUGUUCUAUCAAGAGGGUCGAUAUUGCUCCUUUAUUUUCUUUUUUUAUACUUUUUUUUUGAACUCUUAGAUACACUUUUAUUCUUUGAUUUGUCUGUAAUACAAAGAAAAAAGCUAUUUUGAUGAGGUUCGUUCAUGGUUGAGCAUCAUAUUUUUUUUUUUUUCGAAUUUUCAUUUUUUAUAAUUGAAUUUUUUAUAAAAUUAAUAAAAUAAAACCAAAAGAAUAAAAAAUGAAAAUAUUUCAUAAAUAAUAAAAUAAAAAUGAAAUUUUCAAAAGGUAAUUUUCAAUUGAAAAUUAAAAUAGAAUUAUAAUAGAAUAUUCUAAAAUAAUAUAGAUUCAAAUGAAAUAUUCUAAAUUAUUUAGAAUAUGCACU